GGGUUGUGAGGUUAAGCGACUAAGCGUACACGGUGGAUGCCCUGGCAGUCAGAGGCGAUGAAGGGCGUGCUAAUCUGCGAUAAGCGCCGGUAAGGUGAUAUGAACCGUUAUAACCGGCGAUACCCGAAUGGGGAAACCCAGUGUGACUCGUCACACUAUCAUUAACUGAAUCCAUAGGUUAAUGAGGCGAACCGGGGGAACUGAAACAUCUAAGUACCCCGAGGAAAAGAAAUCAACCGAGAUUCCCCCAGUAGCGGCGAGCGAACGGGGAGGAGCCCAGAGCCUGAAUCAGCAUGUGUGUUAGUGGAAGCGUCUGGAAAGGCGCGCGAUACAGGGUGACAGCCCCGUACACAAAAGCGCAUGUGCUGUGAGCUCGAUGAGUAGGGCGGGACACGUGGUAUCCUGUCUGAAUAUGGGGGGACCAUCCUCCAAGGCUAAAUACUCCUGACUGACCGAUAGUGAACCAGUACCGUGAGGGAAAGGCGAAAAGAACCCCGGCGAGGGGAGUGAAAAAGAACCUGAAACCGUGUACGUACAAGCAGUGGGAGCACA
Molecule: ribosomal RNA, 552 nt
Filed under: Salmonella enterica subsp. enterica serovar Enteritidis
Lineage: Bacteria; Pseudomonadati; Pseudomonadota; Gammaproteobacteria; Enterobacterales; Enterobacteriaceae
Description: partial 23S ribosomal RNA
Rfam family: Bacterial large subunit ribosomal RNA
Source: RNAcentral